UACGUAGGGACCAAGCGUUGUUCGGAUUUACUGGGCGUAAAGGGCGCGUAGGCGGCAAUUCAAGUCAUCUGUGAAAUCUCCGGGCUUAACUCGGAACGGUCAGAUGAUACUGCUUUGCUAGAGUGCGGGAAGGGGCAAUCGGAAUUCUCGGUGUAGCGGUGAAAUGCGUAGAUAUCGAGAGGAACACCAGAGGUGAAGACGGGUUGCUGGGCCGACACGUGACGCUGAGGCGCGAAAGCCAGGGGAGCAAACGGG
RNAcentral lists this ribosomal RNA (255 nucleotides) under uncultured bacterium. RNAcentral describes it as "partial 16S ribosomal RNA". It matches the Rfam family "Bacterial small subunit ribosomal RNA", at positions 524 to 776 of the family's 1533-position model. The record is from RNAcentral.